AAAAGCUUAGAUUAAGGUAUUUAGCUACUCAUAACAAUGGAUAAAUAAACUACAAAAAGAUUCAUAAUUGUAAAUUGCAAGAAAACUAUAAAAGAGAAUAAGAGCAAUGAUGCUUUCCAUGAUCUCUCACACUUGUUUCUCUUCCCAAAGUAAUCCCCAAAAGCAAGUUGUUCCCUACAUAUUAUAAGGGUUUUACAAAAGCUUUUCCGAAUUGACACUUCAACCCCUCAAUUUUCUGAACUGGGCACGUGCCACCGCGGCUGCGGCGCCGACCACGGGAGCUUCUGUCCCAAAUCGCGUCGCCGACCGCGAAAUCCACUGGAGGUUUUUUUUUCUCCGCGUUACUUCUCUCAUUUGCUCUUUGGAAUUCGGGUUCUUCUUGAGUGGGUGAUUUCUUCACGUUAUUGCCUUUGAACACUUCAUUUCGCUUCCUCGCUUCUUGUAUUCCCUGCGACACCAAUUCGAAUCAAUUAAAGUAUCUUAUUGGCAACUCACAUUAAAAAACAACAACAACAACAAAGCAUGGGCAAUUAUGGUGUAAAUAACAACGAUAUAGCCUAUUAUCAACACCCCACACUUAAAUUAUUUCUGGUCCUCGAACAAUUCACCACACUCCAUAAAAAUUCAUUUCCUAUGCUUUUCCCUCA
RNAcentral lists this long non-coding RNA (647 nucleotides) under Nicotiana benthamiana. RNAcentral's name for it is "long non-coding RNA (NBEN_LNC018634)". The record is from RNAcentral. Lineage: Eukaryota; Viridiplantae; Streptophyta; Magnoliopsida; Solanales; Solanaceae.